RNAcentral lists this long non-coding RNA (208 nucleotides) under Gossypium barbadense (sea-island cotton). Its description in RNAcentral is "long non-coding RNA (GBAR_LNC014679)". Lineage: Eukaryota; Viridiplantae; Streptophyta; Magnoliopsida; Malvales; Malvaceae. The record is from RNAcentral.
UUUUGCCAUGAUCAGUGAUCACAAACUUGUACAACUCCUUUCCAUAACUUCUGAGAGUGUACAGGCAGCUGAAGAAAAUGUGAUCCCUUGUCUCCUUUUUAUCCCCACACAAUAAGCAUUCAAAAUAACUUGGUAGCCUCAAGAAUGCAACCUUCCCUUGGUGGGUAAUCUGUAAGGAACUGUAAGCCAAGCAAUGAAUGAGUGCCUG